Molecule: ribosomal RNA, 451 nt
Filed under: Onthophagus rubicundulus
Lineage: Eukaryota; Metazoa; Arthropoda; Insecta; Coleoptera; Scarabaeidae
Description: partial 16S ribosomal RNA
Source: RNAcentral
CAUGUCUUUUUGUUAAUAAUUUAAAGUCUGACCUGCCCUCUGAUUUAGAUUGAAUGGCCGCGAUAUUUUGAUCGUGCAAAGGUAGCAUAAUAAUUAGUUUCUUAAUUAGGAACUGGAAUGAAAGGUUGAACGAGAAAAAAACUGUCUCAAUUUAAUUUUUAUUAGAAUUUUAUUUUUAAGUAAAAAAGCUUAAAUAAUUUUAAAAGACGAGAAGACCCUAUAGAGUUUUAUAUUUAAUUUAAUUUAUUUUUUAGUUUAAGAAUUUAAUUUUAAAAUUUAUUAUAAAAUAUUUAGUUGGGGUGAUUGAAAAAUUUAAUAAACUUUUUUUAAAGAAUUUAUCAUUGAUAUAUGAUUUAGUUGAUCCAUAUUUUAUGAUUAAAAGAUUAAAUUACCUUAGGGAUAACAGCGUAAUUUUUUUUGAGAGUUCUUAUCGAAAAAAAAGUUUGCGACC